This is a long non-coding RNA of Chenopodium quinoa (quinoa), 2704 nucleotides long. RefSeq lists it as uncharacterized. The transcript is spliced from 2 exons. NCBI's taxonomy places the organism in Eukaryota, Viridiplantae, Streptophyta, Magnoliopsida, Caryophyllales, Amaranthaceae. The record is from RefSeq and is a predicted model, not a curated record.
ACUCAUUUAUUGAUAAGUGACGCAAAUAACUUUGUGGGUAAAUUGCGUCACUUCUUUCUUCAUUGAGCGACGCAAAUGACUAUUACCACUACCACCCACUCAGUGCUUCCUCUCAUUCAAUAUAAAAUACUCUUGCUCCCAUGUUGCCGUUCGAACUUCAAAAUUAAACCCUAGCAAAUUCAACUGCAAAAUCCCCAAAAAUUCAACAUCAAAAACUCAAGAAAUCCCUCCAACCAACCGAUUCCCCAGCGUUGCCUUGUUGUCGUUCGUACUGCAAAACCUACCGAUUUCAACAGCAAAACCCUGAUAAAUUCGACCCAAACCAACAAAUUUGACCCCAAAAUCAACAAAUUCAACCACUAAUUGAAAACCCCAAAAUAUCCAAGUUAAAACCCCCCAUUUUCUAGCAAAUUCGAGGCAAAACACCCCAUUUUUGAGCAAAAAUCGACCCAAACCACCCACGAAAUUCAAACUAUUAAAAUCGUUGAUAUUCGAGAUGAAAUACCCUAAAUCGAGGCUAGUAUGGGAUUGCUGCUUGUUGGUGUUGCUGUUGAUGGUUAGUUGGGCGGCAUUGGCUGAUUUAUGCGGUGGCAGCACUAUUAAUUGGUGGAGAUUUGGGUGCCGCUGCGGUGGUAAAUUGCUGUUCAAAAGUUGUUGGAGUUCUCACUCGUUCUGCUUUGUUCUAUAAUUUCUCAUUCGUGAGUGAGCUUUUUAAUUUCUCAUUUUAUGUAAACCUUGACUUCAAAAAAUCUAUCACAAUUUCACGGUAUUUUGAGCAAUUGUUCUUGUUUAAUCGAGUGUUUGUAUCUAGAUAUAAAGUUUGAUUAGUGAAUUACUUGGUGCAUGUGUAGCAAGUGGCUUGUGGUCGGUAGUGAGUGUGGUGGUGUGGCUUGGUGCAGCGGGCAAUUUGUUGUUGAAUUGUUUGUGAAUUGCAGGGGAUAAUGUUAAGGUUUCUCUCUUAUAUUCAGAGUAACUCUAAUGUUAUUGUUAUUCGAUGAAUUUUCUUGUUUAAUUGUUCUAUAAUUUGAGAUGUUAUAGUUAAUUUCUUACUUUAUUUCUCUCAUAUUAAAGGUAAAUUAACAUUACAAUUGAAGUGGCAUAAUCUAAUUCUUCAUUAAUUACCGAAUAUCGGUUCCACAAUCUAGAGUUUCAUUAUACACUCUUGCUAAUCUAAAUUUCAGUAUACUCAACUUGUGGCAUUUCUAAGGUGGAUUUUGAACUACAUUUAUGAUUUCACUAGCUUUAUAGUUAAAUAUAUAUUUUCGUUAGAUUCUAUGUAUUCUUUGAUGUUGUAAUAAAGCUAUAUUUUUUCAAUACAUGUAUUGGGUUAUGAAAGUGUAUGACAUAAAGUUCUUGAAGAAUAAGGUUACAGUACUUACAUAUAGCAUAGGCUUGAUUACAUUAGUUAAUUGAUUUUCGUGUGGUGAAAUACUUGGUGCAAGUGCAGCUGAUGGUUGGUGGUUAGUGGCGAUGGUGUGGCUUUGGUGCAGCGGCAAUUUGUUGCAGAGAGAUUUUUUGUUUUUGAGUAGUUUGUAAAUUGCAGGGGAGAAGGUAAAGGUUUCUCUCUCACAGUCACAUAUACAUAUUAACUCUAAUCUUUUUGUAUUUCAUUGAAUUUUCUAGUUUGAUUGUUAUAUAAUAUCAGGUAUCAGUUGGAUCAAUAAUCUGCUUAUUGCAUUUCUCUAGCUAGUUCAAUCUCACAAAUAAGAGCCAUAAUUUCUGCCACAAAAUAAUUACAUGACUUACUAUUUGCAGAAAAAGCCGAGACAUAGUUCCUAAAUCCUAAAUUUCACAUUAGCAUGUUUAUAUAAGACUAAGUUUCAACAUUAUUUAUCACCUGAGAUAAUUGUUUGUUUUUCUAGGGGUUGGGGGAAACUGAUAAUAAUUCUUGAAGCAGUUAAUUUGAUUAGAAUGGGAUCUUGGCAAUAUUUGAUCAUUUACAAAAGUUUUAAAAGAAGUUUAAGCCUCCAAGACAGAGUUUGUCUCCAUGCAAACAAAUUCAUCAUAGUUCAAAAAACAAUGGAGAUUGUGAAAGUGUAUGACUUGAAGUUCUCGAAGAAUAAGGUACAGUGAAUAUUUUGUUGCAUGUAUAGUGAUAAAUAAAAACAAUGGAGUGAAAUAAAUUCAUAACUAAGAUGUAUUUUUUCUUAAAAUAUGGUGAGAAUGAUUAGUAUUCUUAUUUUUCAUGCUUGAGUUUGUAUCUCUUCUGAAAUAAGUUGUAUUAGUAUGUCAACUUACUUUGUUGCCAUGAUGCGUGUAGUGACAUAAAAAAAUUGGGAGGAUGUGAGAUAUGGAUACUAUGUCAUGUGCUAUACGUUUGAAAUAGUUCAACAUCAUCGUAAUAUAAUGAGGACCUUAUUAUAGUUUAUUUAGAACAAUACCUUAUACAGGGGAGGAGAUAAAUGUGGUUCAAGAUAUUUGGUCAGACAAUUUUAUGAGCAAUGUUGAAAUUUAGAAUUUAACUUAGCUAACUCCAUUUAUUUGUUAGACUUUUUUUGUUUAGUUCUUAGGCUUGAAAUGAAUGUAAUUCUGUUAACAAUUUUUUGGGUUGGUCUUUGUUCUUGUGUUGGUUAAUGAUACCAAUCAUUUUGAGUUGUAAACUUUUUGAUAGGAUAUUAGUGUAUACAUUGACGUCAUUCCCAAAUUUAUGGGUAGGUCAAAAUACGAAGGAAAAUCUGUCGAAAUAUAUACUUGAUUUGAUUAA